This is a long non-coding RNA of Oncorhynchus keta (chum salmon), 1084 nucleotides long. RefSeq lists it as uncharacterized. The record is from RefSeq and is a predicted model, not a curated record. NCBI's taxonomy places the organism in Eukaryota, Metazoa, Chordata, Actinopteri, Salmoniformes, Salmonidae. The transcript is spliced from 5 exons.
GAGAGAGAGAGAGAGAGAGAGAGAGAGAGAGAGACAGACAGACAGAGACAGAGAGAGAGAGAGAGAGAGAGAGAGAGAGAGAGAGAGACAGAGAGACAGAGAGAGAGAGAGAGAGAGAGAGAGAGAGAGAGAGAGAGAGAGAGAGAGACAGAGAGAGACAGACAGACAGAGAGACAGAGAGAGAGAGAGAGAGAGAGAGAGAGAGAGAGAGAGAGAGAGAGAGAGAGAGAGAGAGAGAGAGAGAGAGAGAGAGAGAGAGAGAGAGAGAGAGAGAGAGAGAGAGAGAGAGAGAGAGAGAGAGGAGAGAUGUUAACACAUUACUGUUCCGACUGUUGUCACUACCACAGCCCUGCAGGUCAACACUGUUCAGCUCUGGAGAACAUUAACAUACGGGUGUAUCCCUGUACAAACCCUCCUGUAGAGAAACCCUCCUGUAGGUUUUAACUCCAACCCUGUUCCUGGAGAGAAACCCUCCUGUAGGUUUUAACUCCAACCCUGUUCCUGGAGAGAAACCCUCCUGUAGAGAAACCCUCCUGUAGGUUUUAACUCCAACCCUGUUCCUGGAGAGAAACCCUCCUGUAGGUUUUAACUCCAACCCUGUUCCUGGAGAGAAACCCUCCUGUAGGUUUUAACUCCAACCCUGUUCCUGGAGAGAAACCCUCCUGUAGGUUUUAACUCCAACCCUGUUCCUGGAGAGAGACCCUCCUGUAGGUUGUAACUCCAACCCUGUUCCUGGAGAGAAACCCUCCUGUAGGUUUUAACUCCAACCCUGUUCCUGGAGAGAGACCCUCCUGUAGGUUUUAACUCCAACCCUGUUCCUGGAGAGAAACCCUCCUGUAGGUUUUAACUCCAACCCUGUUCCUGGAGAGAGACCCUCCUGUAGGUUUUAACUCCAACCCUGUUCCUGGAGAGAGACCCUCCUGUAGGUUUUAACUCCAACCCUGUUCCUGGAGAGAGACCCUCCUGUAGGUUUUAACUCCAACCCUGUUCCUGGAGAGAGACCCUCCUGUAGGUUGUAACUCCAACCCUGUUCCUGGAGAGAGACCCUCCUGUAGGUUGUAACUCCAACCCUGUUCCUGGAGAG